This 440-nucleotide ribosomal RNA is filed under the name uncultured bacterium. Its description in RNAcentral is "partial 16S ribosomal RNA". It matches the Rfam family "Bacterial small subunit ribosomal RNA", at positions 338 to 795 of the family's 1533-position model. The record is from RNAcentral.
CCUACGGGAGACAGCAGUGGGGAAUAUUGCACAAUGGGGGAAACCCUGAUGCAGCGACGCCGCGUGAGUGAAGAAGUAAUUCGUUAUGUAAAGCUCUAUCAGCAGGGAAGAAAAUGACGGUACCUGAGUAAUAAGCCCCGGCUAACUACGUGCCAGCAUCCGCGGUAAUACGUAGGGGGCAAGCGUUAUCCGGAUUUACUGGGUGUAACGGGAGCGUAGACGGCAGUGCAAGGCUGGAGUGAAAGGCGGGGGCUCAACCCCAGGACUGCGCUGGAAACUGUACGGCUGGAGUGCAGGAGAGGUAAGUGGAAUUCCUAGUGUAGCGGUGAAAUGCGUAGAUAUUAGGAGGAACACCAGUGGCGAAGGCGGCUUACUGGACUGCAACUGACGUUGAGGCUCGAAAGCGUGGGGAGCAAACAGGAUUAGAUACCCGGGUAGUC